This 2220-nucleotide ribosomal RNA is filed under the name human gut metagenome. RNAcentral's name for it is "bacterial LSU rRNA". It matches the Rfam family "Bacterial large subunit ribosomal RNA", at positions 183 to 2427 of the family's 2925-position model. The record is from RNAcentral.
ACCGGGGGAACUGAAACAUCUAAGUACCCCGAGGAAAAGAAAUCAACCGAGAUUCCCCCAGUAGCGGCGAGCGAACGGGGAGGAGCCCAGAGCCUGAAUCAGUGUGUGUGUUAGUGGAAGCGUCUGGAAAGGCGCGCGAUACAGGGUGACAGCCCCGUACACAAAAAUGCACAUAUUGUGAGCUCGAUGAGUAGGGCGGGACACGUGGUAUCCUGUCUGAAUAUGGGGGGACCAUCCUCCAAGGCUAAAUACUCCUGACUGACCGAUAGUGAACCAGUACCGUGAGGGAAAGGCGAAAAGAACCCCGGCGAGGGGAGUGAAAAAGAACCUGAAACCGUGUACGUACAAGCAGUGGGAGCCUCUUUAUGGGGUGACUGCGUACCUUUUGUAUAAUGGGUCAGCGACUUAUAUUCUGUAGCAAGGUUAACCGAAUAGGGGAGCCGAAGGGAAACCGAGUCUUAACUGGGCGUUAAGUUGCAGGGUAUAGACCCGAAACCCGGUGAUCUAGCCAUGGGCAGGUUGAAGGUUGGGUAACACUAACUGGAGGACCGAACCGACUAAUGUUGAAAAAUUAGCGGAUGACUUGUGGCUGGGGGUGAAAGGCCAAUCAAACCGGGAGAUAGCUGGUUCUCCCCGAAAGCUAUUUAGGUAGCGCCUCGUGAAUUCAUCUCCGGGGGUAGAGCACUGUUUCGGCAAGGGGGUCAUCCCGACUUACCAACCCGAUGCAAACUGCGAAUACCGGAGAAUGUUAUCACGGGAGACACACGGCGGGUGCUAACGUCCGUCGUGAAGAGGGAAACAACCCAGACCGCCAGCUAAGGUCCCAAAGUCAUGGUUAAGUGGGAAACGAUGUGGGAAGGCCCAGACAGCCAGGAUGUUGGCUUAGAAGCAGCCAUCAUUUAAAGAAAGCGUAAUAGCUCACUGGUCGAGUCGGCCUGCGCGGAAGAUGUAACGGGGCUAAACCAUGCACCGAAGCUGCGGCAGCGACACUAUGUGUUGUUGGGUAGGGGAGCGUUCUGUAAGCCUGUGAAGGUGGCCUGUGAGGGUUGCUGGAGGUAUCAGAAGUGCGAAUGCUGACAUAAGUAACGAUAAAGCGGGUGAAAAGCCCGCUCGCCGGAAGACCAAGGGUUCCUGUCCAACGUUAAUCGGGGCAGGGUGAGUCGACCCCUAAGGCGAGGCCGAAAGGCGUAGUCGAUGGGAAACAGGUUAAUAUUCCUGUACUUGGUGUUACUGCGAAGGGGGGACGGAGAAGGCUAUGUUGGCCGGGCGACGGUUGUCCCGGUUUAAGCGUGUAGGCUGGUUUUCCAGGCAAAUCCGGAAAACCAAGGCUGAGGCGUGAUGACGAGGCACUACGGUGCUGAAGCGACAAAUGCCCUGCUUCCAGGAAAAGCCUCUAAGCAUCAGGUAACAUCAAAUCGUACCCCAAACCGACACAGGUGGUCAGGUAGAGAAUACCAAGGCGCUUGAGAGAACUCGGGUGAAGGAACUAGGCAAAAUGGUGCCGUAACUUCGGGAGAAGGCACGCUGAUAUGUAGGUGAAGCGACUUGCUCGUGGAGCUGAAAUCAGUCGAAGAUACCAGCUGGCUGCAACUGUUUAUUAAAAACACAGCACUGUGCAAACACGAAAGUGGACGUAUACGGUGUGACGCCUGCCCGGUGCCGGAAGGUUAAUUGAUGGGGUUAGCGGUAACGCGAAGCUCUUGAUCGAAGCCCCGGUAAACGGCGGCCGUAACUAUAACGGUCCUAAGGUAGCGAAAUUCCUUGUCGGGUAAGUUCCGACCUGCACGAAUGGCGUAAUGAUGGCCAGGCUGUCUCCACCCGAGACUCAGUGAAAUUGAACUCGCUGUGAAGAUGCAGUGUACCCGCGGCAAGACGGAAAGACCCCGUGAACCUUUACUAUAGCUUGACACUGAACAUUGAGCCUUGAUGUGUAGGAUAGGUGGGAGGCUUUGAAGUGUGGACGCCAGUCUGCAUGGAGCCGACCUUGAAAUACCACCCUUUAAUGUUUGAUGUUCUAACGUUGGCCCGUAAUCCGGGUUGCGGACAGUGUCUGGUGGGUAGUUUGACUGGGGCGGUCUCCUCCUAAAGAGUAACGGAGGAGCACGAAGGUUGGCUAAUCCUGGUCGGACAUCAGGAGGUUAGUGCAAUGGCAUAAGCCAGCUUGACUGCGAGCGUGACGGCGCGAGCAGGUGCGAAAGCAGGUCAUAGUGAUCCGGUGGU